ACUUCUGUACUUUCUUUUCAUAUUAAUGCGAGAAUCAUUUUCCCAAAUGUCAUGAUUUAAUUCAUAUAUUCUAAUAAAUUUCAUUACUUGCCAGAAUAGAAUAAUCACAUAUCUUUAUAAUUUGGCAAAAUCGAAAACUGGUAACUUUAAAUUCACUUAUCACUAAUUAAAUGAAAAUCAAGGUUCAGACAUACCUUUGUUUGUACAACCUUGAAUGGAUUAAGUUUGAGAUUUGAUUCGAAGAUCGAUAUUUUUAAGAGAAUCCAAAGUCUCACCCCAG
Molecule: long non-coding RNA, 280 nt
Filed under: Elaeis guineensis (African oil palm)
Lineage: Eukaryota; Viridiplantae; Streptophyta; Magnoliopsida; Arecales; Arecaceae
Description: long non-coding RNA (EGUI_LNC048324)
Source: RNAcentral